RNAcentral lists this ribosomal RNA (468 nucleotides) under uncultured bacterium. Its description in RNAcentral is "partial 16S ribosomal RNA". It matches the Rfam family "Bacterial small subunit ribosomal RNA", at positions 28 to 507 of the family's 1533-position model. The record is from RNAcentral.
GACGAACGCUGGCGGCGUGCUUAACACAUGCAAGUCGAACGGAAAGGCCCUGCUUUUGUGGGGUGCUCGAGUGGCGAACGGGUGAGUAACACGUGAGUAACCUGCCCUUGACUUUGGGAUAACUUCAGGAAACUGGGGCUAAUACCGGAUAGGAGCUCCUGCUGCAUGGUGGGGGUUGGAAAGUUUCGGCGGUUGGGGAUGGACUCGCGGCUUAUCGGCUUGUUGGUGGGGUAGUGGCUUACCAAGGCUUUGACGGGUAGCCGGCCUGAGAGGGUGACCGGCCACAUUGGGACUGAGAUACGGCCCAGACUCCUACGGGAGGCAGCAGGGGGGAAUAUUGCACAAUGGGCGGAAGCCUGAUGCAGCAACGCCGCGUGCGGGAUGACGGCCUUCGGGUUGUAAACCGCUUUCGCCUGUGACGAAGCGUGAGUGACGGUAAUGGGUAAAGAAGCACCGGCUAACUACGUG